UCCGGUGACUAUGGCGGAGAGGUCCCACCCGUUCCCAUACCGAACACGGAAGUUAAGCUCUCCAGCGCCGAUGGUACUUGGGGAUUUCCCCCCGGGAGAGUAGGUCGUCGCCGGAU
This 116-nucleotide ribosomal RNA is filed under the name Bacillota bacterium. Lineage: Bacteria; Bacillati; Bacillota. The record is from RNAcentral.